GCACCAGUAGCUCAGUGUUAGAGCACCGGUCUUGUAAGCCGGUGGCCGGAGGUUAAAACCCUCCCUUGUGCU
Molecule: transfer RNA, 72 nt
Filed under: Cepola schlegelii
Lineage: Eukaryota; Metazoa; Chordata; Actinopteri; Priacanthiformes; Cepolidae (in: ray-finned fishes)
Description: tRNA-Thr
Rfam family: tRNA
About the family: Transfer RNA (tRNA) molecules are approximately 80 nucleotides in length. Their secondary structure includes four short double-helical elements and three loops (D, anti-codon, and T loops).
Source: RNAcentral